This is a long non-coding RNA of Ficedula albicollis (Collared flycatcher), 1274 nucleotides long. RefSeq lists it as uncharacterized. The record is from RefSeq and is a predicted model, not a curated record. Lineage: Eukaryota; Metazoa; Chordata; Aves; Passeriformes; Muscicapidae. The transcript has 3 exons.
GAGACAGUGCUGGCCAAAAAGUCUUCAAAAUCCCAUCACUUCAAGUCAGAGGUUCUUGUCCCAGUGAAAACCAGCAAACACUCGUCUCACUGUGGCACUGGGCAAACUGGAGUUUGUUUGAUCAUGUGAUGGAGACAGCCACCUGUUCACAGAACCAGAAGGGCUCUUUCACUCUUUCCUGCACUUCAGAGCCAGACAGUGCCAGUGUGAGCAGGACCGGAGGCCAGCAGCUCUGAGAGCAGUGCCCAGCUGGGGACAGGGGCACAGCAGGGCCAGGAUCCAUCCCUGCAGCGAGCUCGGGGUGUUUCUGAUCAUUGCAGCUGGGAGGAGGCUCGGGAAGUCUGAGGCUCCUGCUCCCACACCAGUGUACAUUAUCAUAGGGCAUCACCAGUGCCACCAGCUUCUGUUUGCUGUAGCCCGUUGAGUUGUCGAUGCACACAUGCACAACAUCCACCCCACAAAGCAAAGCCAGGCAGAGCUUUACUCCCGUGGCAGCUCAGUUUAUUUUUACAGCCCUCGCCCCAGGCUCUGGCACUCUGGAGUUCAGCUGCCCAGGCUGCUCAGCCCCCACUGCAGCUGCAACAGGAGAGAACCUGCUAGAAACCUCCCCGUGUCUGACAGUAACACAGCAAGGUCUGAGCUCCCCUUCCAAGGCUGUAAUUGCACAAUGAACACUUGCUUAAUAAAGCUGAGAUUUGUUUUGUAAAGCGCCUCUUGGUUAUUCAUAGAAAUCUGAUGUGGAAAUGGUCUGUUAAGUCCCUCCUAAAGCUUUCCCUGUGCAUCUCAGACCUGCUCCCGCUGGUGCUUUUCUGGCAAAAUGUUCUGUGGUAAAAAAGCAGAUUGUGGCAGAAAAUCAAACAAGACAUCUGACUUCACCUUUGACUGUGAGCCUGUGUUUCUCUAAUUUGCAUAAAUAUAGGUAUGUCGUACAGAGGGAGAUAAAAUUCUCCAUUUCUCUGAUCUGCUUAUUUGAAGGAAGAUCUCAGAGGGAAGUACUGAAGCCACGGCAUGUUUGAAGAAUUAACUGCAGCACAGAUAAAAAGCUUUAGAAGACCCCACAGGAGGGCUUUAAUUUGAACAGUGAAAUUCAGCUUAAAGAGCUUGAAUUGGCUAAAAGAAGAAAAAAAUAACGUCCUGGUUUAUGAAGCCCUCUGGAAAUAACAACCUGUGGAUGUGUUUAUUUGCCAUGGGAGCCUGAUGUCUCUCCCCCUUUUUCCUCCAACCACUGGGCAGCUUUGGCCAGUCCAAACCACUCCAUGGGGCUGCUCCUUUGG